GAGUGGGUGGUCAACAGGGCCCAGCAGAGCCCACUCAUAAGCAGGAUGGGCAGAGGCUGGUAACAAGCACAAACACACAGCCUAAUGGGAGCACAAGACCUACUAUUGACAAAUCAACAGGGGCAUGGCAGUGGGUCAUCUACUGUGUAUUAUCAAAACAGCUAGGAGAGAAUAAUUUCAACAUUACCAGCACAAGGAAAAGAAAAUAUUUCAAGUGAAAGACAUCCCAAGUACCCAGAUUUGAUCAACAUAGGGAUGAAUCAAGAUAUCACAUGCACUCUGAAAAUAUGUACAUAUAUUAUGUAUCAACAAAAACAAAAACCAGUGACAGAACCAUUUGCGAAGCACGUGCAGGAGAAGAAUGGGAAGCCUGACGUGGUGUGGCUGUGUGUCCCCACCCAAAUCUCAUGCUGAACUGUAACCGUGUUGGAGGUGGGCCCUGGUGGGAGGUGAUUGACUUACGGGGGUGGUUUCUAAUGGUUUAUCACAAUCCCUCAAGUGUUGUCCUCAUGAUAGUUCUCCCGAGAUCUGGUUGUUUGGAGGUGCAUGGCACCUUCCCCUUCACUCUCUCCCCUUCCAGCCAUGUGAAGGCAUGCCUGCCUCCCCUUCACCUUCCACCAUGAUUGUAAGUGUCCCCAGAUGUAGAAGCCUAUACAGCCCACAGAACUGUAUGCCGAUUAAACCUUUUUUCCUUAUUACCCAGCCUCAGGUAGUUCUUUAUAGCAGUGGAAGAACAGUACAGUCCUCAGGACCAGCAAAGUUUUCCUUCUACCAAGCGGCCAACAAGGGUCCCACACCCUAGCUGAUUUUCCGAAGCCUUUGCCAGAAUGCUGAGGCUGUUUUGGAGAUAUUAACUUUCCCCAUCUCUGGCAAACCAGAUGGGGCAUCCUAUUUGCCUCUUACCGCCUUUCUCAGAGAAACCCCACCUCUGAAACAGCCUCCGCCAGGGGCCUCCUUCAGCAGCAGCAAAGCUGAGUAUUCCUUGCACUUUCCUUCUUCUGAACAAGUAAACAUCUUAAGCUUGUUUUUCCAUCUUCCCAGCUCAUUGAAAAAAAUAUCUUAUGCUUUCUAUUUUCCUCACACACACACAUAGAAGAGAAGUGCCGUGAGAGCAGGGGCUCUUGUUUUCCCGGAUCUGAACCUGGCCCUCAAACACUAGUCGAAUUCAUACUAACACGAUAUCCAGAGGCAGAAAUGCAAAUAUCCCCACCACUUCAAAUACCCCUAAGGAUCUAACAGGCCCAGUGGACCAUGUAACUAUGGUUUGUGCUGGGCCAUUCAACUGGUGUCCAAAUCCCUGUCCAAGCGAGCUCUUUAAUUUUGAGACUUUUCAGACAGCUUUUUUGUUGUUCUGUUUUUAUUAAAGGGAUCUAUUACAAUUACAAUCAAGAAUAUCCCAGGCCGAGUGUGGUGGCUCAUGCCUGUAAUCCCAGCACAUUGGGAGGUCAAAGUGAGACAAUCACCUGAGGUCAGGAUUUCAAGACCAGCCUGGUCAACAUGUUGAAACCCUGUCUCUACUAAUACAAAAAUGAACAAGCCAUGGUGGCAGGCACUUAUAAUCCCAGCUACUCAGGAGGUUGAGGCAGGAGAAUGGCGUGAACCAUGAGGUGAGGCUGCAGUGAGCCAAGAUCGUGCCACUGCAUUCCAGCCUGGGCAGACAGCAAGACUGUCUCAAAAAAAAAAAAAAAAA
Macaca fascicularis (crab-eating macaque) is the source of this 1690-nucleotide long non-coding RNA. The record is from Ensembl. Lineage: Eukaryota; Metazoa; Chordata; Mammalia; Primates; Cercopithecidae.